Asparagus officinalis (garden asparagus) is the source of this 524-nucleotide long non-coding RNA. RefSeq lists it as uncharacterized. The record is from RefSeq and is a predicted model, not a curated record. NCBI's taxonomy places the organism in Eukaryota, Viridiplantae, Streptophyta, Magnoliopsida, Asparagales, Asparagaceae. The transcript is spliced from 3 exons.
GUAUAAUUUUGUCGACAUUAAUUUGCAUCGCCGAAAGUAACAUCUUUUCUGUCAACUACAAGCCUACACUGAACCUGAACAUCCAUAAAAAAUUUGCUCCCAUUCACAUCAACAAAGAAACCAAACAUCAAAUUAUACUCCAAACAAGUUGCAUAUUAUAAUAAACAAAGAAUUUGCUCCUAUUGCAAAAUAAUUACAUUCAUUUUUAUUUCCAAGUCAAUACUCAAAGGCCUGUUUAAAUAUUCCAGUUUGUCAUAUUCAGUGUUUUCCAUUUCAGAGAAUGACACAUUAUAAGAUUUACAGGAAACAAAACUAAGUUGAAAAAAAGAAAACAUGAAGUGAAAGAACGGCACGAUCAGUGAACCUCUUCACAUAUGAAGCAAGGAGGGUGCUCUUAAGUGCAUCAGCUAUAGGCAUGGAUUCUCUGGCUUUGCGGCAACUCUCACAGAAUCUCAAGCAAAAAGAGUUGCAGCCUGCAGGUGACUCCAACACAAUUGCAGAAGGAGGUGUUAGUAGUCCAGUUU